AGGAAGCAGCCAUUCUUUCUGGUCCUAUUGUCUGGCCACCAGGCUUAGGCAAUCAAACAGCCCAGUGGCCCGGCAGCGGCUCCCGCUCCUGCCUCUUCUGGUGGGCCUGGGGGAGGAGGAGGAGGGCAGGGGAGGGCUGCCUGCUCAUGGCUGGAACUUGGUUUUCCCCAGCGCAUCUCUGCCUGGCCGAUGGCCUCAGAAGUUCAGAAUGAAAAAGCAAACAUGCAUAAGCUCUCCAAAGUUCUAUCUCCAUCCAUUCUUCCUCCUGGCAAAUGCUUCUAGUCCCUUCUGCAUACAAAGCAAUAUGAAUUUGAGCAAGAGUUACAUUUAAGACCUUGAGAUCAACUGGAGAAAGCUACGCUGGACAGCUGUCAUAACGUCAUGUCACAAAUGGAGAAGACAUCGGUCAAGAUUGAAACCCCGUAGUAAAUGGUGAUCCUGAUUUCUGUGGUGUCAUCUAUGAGGACUCUGGAAAAUUCGAUACAAAACAAAAGGACUGCCGAGCUGCCUUACUGACAAAUUAAUUUAUCUAUUGGAGAAGUUUUGAUUUACAACGAAAUUUUCUGUUGGUAACAGAGAGUCUUCCAUUUAAAAUUAAUGACCUCAUAGCUGAUGAAUGAUAAAGCAGGAAAGGAAGUGCGCUGAAGACUGAAAAAAAUCAUCAGGUGAAAGGGGCACACUGUGAUUAUGGAAUAAAAAGUAGUCAUUAAGGCUUAAAAAGAAAAAAAAAAAAAACAGAACUCUGUUUCUCACUGAUGCUAGUGGUGGAUGUUUUCUUGGAAUAUAAAAUGACUUCCCCCCCCUCAGGAUCUGUGGUACUAUAAAAACAGUCCCCUUCAGAAGUAACUUCCAAAUCUGCUAACAUAAUACUUCUCUGAAGAAGAAUGAGAAUGUUGGUUUUACAGUUAAUUAAGGGUUUGGGGUCAGGAACUUGAAAUAUAUCCAUUAGCGUAUGGUUUUCUGGUUAAGGAGUCAUAAAUAUACAGUACACUUUAUUAAAUAUCUUGAAUAAAACUUUUUAAAAAAUA
This is a long non-coding RNA of Numida meleagris (helmeted guineafowl), 1028 nucleotides long. RefSeq lists it as uncharacterized. The transcript is spliced from 3 exons. Lineage: Eukaryota; Metazoa; Chordata; Aves; Galliformes; Numididae. The record is from RefSeq and is a predicted model, not a curated record.